AUGGAGGACGAAAAGAUGCGACAGGAUUGGAAAAACACAAAUGACUUCGUUGAGUCCACUGCCACCAGCCCCCCCCACCUCUCCCUCAUGCUCCUCCACCACAGGCACCUCUUCCACCACCCCAGACACCCCUUCCAAGAGGAGAGUGCCAGGGGGCAGGCGAGGCAUGAGGAGAGCGAGGCAAAGUUGGCGGAAUGGUGGAGAAGAUGUGAUUCUCCACCAUUCUCUCAAAAUCUGAGAGAGAGAGUGUGUGUGUGUGUGUGUAUUUUUAGGUGUGCGUGUGUGUGUAUUUUUAGAUGCGUGUGUGUGUAUUUUUAGAUGUGUGGUUCAGUGUUUCUUAUUUAAAUAAAGUGUUUCUUCUAAAGUGUUCUUGUUCUUAACCGAUUAUUAUCUAAGGGUGCACUCACACUAGGCCAUCUGUCCGUGGCCGUGGCCGUUUUAGCACCUAACCGUGCUCAAAUCUGCCAGGGUGAGUGUGGCCAGUCUGGCUAAUACCACAGUAUUAUUAUUUUUUUAACACUUUAUUUAAACAUGCCAAUUACAAAAUAUAAAUACCAUUUCAGGUUAAACAUCUUUACAAUGGGUCUUGCUCGUUGCCCGAGACAAUGGCAGCCAGUCUGUCUCUUGUAACAUUACCAGGGGUCUGGUUAUCUGCUAGGGGGCACAGGGAGGCCAUGAUGUCGUCACAGGGUAGGGUUGUCCCAUUUGGUAGGGGACCGUUAAGGGGUAGCAAUGAGAUUGAGCAAUGAGGGUUAGGGUUGAGAUGUAGGGUUGAGACAGAGCAAAUGAAUGAGAUUGGGCCUAAAGGUGCGGCCACACCUGACGCGUAUCUCGCGUAAUUUUUACGCGAGAUACGCGCGUAAAAUGUUGCUUGACCAUUUUGCGUCAAAAAUUGUCGCAUACGCGCCAUACGCGCCAUACGCGCCUACGUCACUCGCCUAGAUGAGUCCAUGUCCAUGCAAGUGAACGGAGCGUUCCCUCUUCGUCAUAACUAUCAAACCAAACAUCCUUCACAUUCACCGAGCAAUCAUUAUGAAAGUAAAAUGCACAUUUCUUGCUAAAAAUGUUUCCAUAAAAGCAUUUAAUGGCGUAACUAUGUAACUAUUUCCACCCAGAAUAAAGAAAGUUGUCGGCCGUGGCUGCGCUGGAGUCCGAGGUAGGAAACCCAAACGCCGCCGUGUUUGGGUGAUAGAGUUUAGAUCAGGUUAGAUUAAAUAAUCUCGGAUAUAAAUAACAAUAAUCGGGUUAAAUAACUUCACAUGGUGUGUCUGGUGUGUUUCCAGCAUUCGUAGUGUUGAUCAGCAGAUAUAUAGUCCGCCAAGACGUUGAGGUUGCUUAGUAACCAGAGACUGUCCAUGCAAGUGAACGGAGCGUUCCCUCUUCGUCAUAACUAUCGAACCAAACAUCCUUCACAUUCACCGAACGAACAUUAUGAAAGUAAAAUGCACAUUUCUCGCAAAAAAAGUUUCCAUAAAAGCAUUUCAUGGCGUAACUAUGAUACUAUUUCCACCCAGAAUAAAGAAAGUUGUCGGCCGUGGCUGCGCUGGAGUCCGAGGUAGGAAACCCAAACGCCGCCGUGUUUGGGUGAUAGAGUUUAGAUCGGGUUAGAUUAAAUAAUCUCGGAUAUAAAUAACAAUAAUCGGGUUAAAUAACUUCACAUGGUGUGUCUGGUGUGUUUCCAGCAUUCGUAGUGUUGAUCAGCAGAUAUAUAGUCCGCCAAGACGUUGAGGUUGCUUAGUAACCAGAGACUGUCCAUGCAAGUGAACGGAGCGUUCCCUCUUCGUCAUAAC
Molecule: long non-coding RNA, 1790 nt
Filed under: Gadus morhua (Atlantic cod)
Lineage: Eukaryota; Metazoa; Chordata; Actinopteri; Gadiformes; Gadidae
Description: lncRNA (ENSGMOG00000035883.1)
Source: RNAcentral